This 229-nucleotide ribosomal RNA is filed under the name uncultured bacterium. RNAcentral's name for it is "partial 16S ribosomal RNA". It matches the Rfam family "Bacterial small subunit ribosomal RNA", at positions 568 to 796 of the family's 1533-position model. The record is from RNAcentral.
CACGUAGGCGGACUAUUAAGUCGAGGGUGAAAUCCCGGGGCUCAACCCCGGAACGGCCUUCGAUACUGGUAGUCUUGAGUUCGAGAGAGGUGAGUGGAAUUCCGAGUGUAGAGGUGAAAUUCGUAGAUAUUCGGAGGAACACCAGUGGCGAAGGCGGCUCACUGGCUCGAUACUGACGCUGAGGUGCGAAAGUGUGGGGAGCAAACAGGAUUAGAUACCCUGGUAGUCC